GAGUUUGAUCCUGGCUCAGAGUGAACGCUGGCGGCGUGCCUAAUACAUGCAAGUCGAACGAUGAAGCUUCUAGCUUGCUAGAGUGCUGAUUAGUGGCGCACGGGUGAGUAACGCAUAGGUCAUGUGCCUCUUAGUUUGGGAUAGCCAUUGGAAACGAUGAUUAAUACCAGAUACUCCCUACGGGGGAAAGAUUUAUCGCUAAGAGAUCAGCCUAUGUCCUAUCAGCUUGUUGGUAAGGUAAUGGCUUACCAAGGCUAUGACGGGUAUCCGGCCUGAGAGGGUGAACGGACACACUGGAACUGAGACACGGUCCAGACUCCUACGGGAGGCAGCAGUAGGGAAUAUUGCUCAAUGGGGGAAACCCUGAAGCAGCAACGCCGCGUGGAGGAUGAAAGUUUUAGGAUUGUAAACUCCUUUUGUUAGAGAAGAUAAUGACGGUAUCUAACGAAUAAGCACCGGCUAACUCCGUGCCAGCAGCCGCGGUAAUACGGAGGGUGCAAGCGUUACUCGGAAUCACUGGGCGUAAAGAGCGCGUAGCGGGAUAGUCAGUCAGGUGUGAAAUCCUAUGGCUUAACCAUAGAACUGCAUUUGAAACUACUAUUCUAGAGUGUGGGAGAGGUAGGUGGAAUUCUUGGUGUAGGGGUAAAAUCCGUAGAGAUCAAGAGGAAUACUCAUUGCGAAGGCGACCUGCUGGAACAUUACUGACGCUGAUUGCGCGAAAGCGUGGGGAGCAAACAGGAUUAGAUACCCUGGUAGUCCACGCCCUAAACGAUGGAUGCUAGUUGUUGGAGGGCUUAGUCUCUCCAGUAAUGCAGCUAACGCAUUAAGCAUCCCGCCUGGGGAGUACGGUCGCAAGAUUAAAACUCAAAGGAAUAGACGGGGACCCGCACAAGCGGUGGAGCAUGUGGUUUAAUUCGAAGAUACACGAAGAACCUUACCUAGGCUUGACAUUGAGAGAAUCCGCUAGAAAUAGUGGAGUGUCUGGCUUGCCAGACCUUGAAAACAGGUGCUGCACGGCUGUCGUCAGCUCGUGUCGUGAGAUGUUGGGUUAAGUCCCGCAACGAGCGCAACCCCCUUUCUUAGUUGCUAACAGGUUAUGCUGAGAACUCUAAGGAUACUGCCUCCGUAAGGAGGAGGAAGGUGGGGACGACGUCAAGUCAUCAUGGCCCUUACGCCUAGGGCUACACACGUGCUACAAUGGGGUGUACAAAGAGAAGCAAUACUGCGAAGUGGAGCCAAUCUUCAAAACACCUCUCAGUUCGGAUUGUAGGCUGCAACUCGCCUGCAUGAAGCUGGAAUCGCUAGUAAUCGCAAAUCAGCCAUGUUGCGGUGAAUACGUUCCCGGGUCUUGUACUCACCGCCCGUCACACCAUGGGAGUUGUGUUUGCCUUAAGUCAGGAUGCUAAAUUGGCUACUGCCCACGGCACACACAGCGACUGGGGUGAAGUCGUAACAAGGUAACCGUAGGUGAACCUGCGGUUGGAUCACC
This 1489-nucleotide ribosomal RNA is filed under the name Helicobacter pylori Hp A-11. Its description in RNAcentral is "bacterial SSU rRNA". It matches the Rfam family "Bacterial small subunit ribosomal RNA". The record is from RNAcentral. Lineage: Bacteria; Pseudomonadati; Campylobacterota; Epsilonproteobacteria; Campylobacterales; Helicobacteraceae.